RNAcentral lists this long non-coding RNA (753 nucleotides) under Rattus norvegicus (Norway rat). RNAcentral's name for it is "long non-coding RNA NONRATT015537". The record is from RNAcentral. Lineage: Eukaryota; Metazoa; Chordata; Mammalia; Rodentia; Muridae.
CAGGACUCGCCUACCCGCGCUAUGGACGAUUUACAUAAAGUUCUCCAGGUUCUGUGCAGAAAAGAAUCGGUCUGGUCUUCUGUAGGUGAGUUGGGGCUUGCACAUGCUUCUAUGGUUUUUCCUCUCCCUAAAUGAAAACCCAGCCUGUGGGCCUUUUAGAACUGAGUAAAUUUUCCCUCAGAGUUCUGCCACAGAGGUAGAAAGACAGGCACCAAGGACCAGCUCACUCAGACUAGUCUAAGCCAGUCUGGCAGGUGCUUUUCCCUGGCAAGUGGCCCAGGUCGAAGUCAAAGCCAGCUAAGCUCUGGGUGGGGCUUGCUUUGCAGAAACUAGCCUUAUAUGGUUGGGAGAGGCGGGACACAUAGCCUUAAAAGGAGUUUGCACCCUAGAGAAAAGAGUCUCAGAGGCACCAACGCAUUUGCUUCCCAAGCUUAGGCUGGAUCUGGAGGGCUGACCUCUGGUAGAUGGCUAUCAGCACUGUGUGAUGGUCCACAGGAACAGCAGGCACAGUGUGUAAGGUCUCAUCAAUUUGACUAGGCAGUACCACUGUAGCCAGCAAUUCGUUUUGGUGAGCAGCCAGGUCCUUAAAGUGUUAGGUUGAGGAGGUGGGGGUGGGGAAAGAGGAGGUGGGCAGGGACUGGACUGGACUCUGAGUCACUUGUCAGCUAUAAAUGGAUAUAAAGCUCUGUCUAUACCUGGAAGAUAAAUACUAGGAUAUCAAUGACCCAGAAAAGAAAAAACCAAAAAAAAAAA